RNAcentral lists this ribosomal RNA (449 nucleotides) under uncultured bacterium. Its description in RNAcentral is "bacterial SSU rRNA". It matches the Rfam family "Bacterial small subunit ribosomal RNA", at positions 331 to 794 of the family's 1533-position model. The record is from RNAcentral.
CCAGACUCCUACGGGAGGCAGCAGUGGGGAAUAUUGGGCAAUGGGCGCAAGCCUGACCCAGCAAUGCCGCGUGAAGGAAGAAGGCCCUCGGGUUGUAAACUUCUUUUAUCAGGGACGAAGGAUGUGACGGUACCUGAUGAAUAAGCUCCGGCUAACUACGUGCCAGCAGCCGCGGUAAUACGUAGGGAGCAAGCGUUAUCCGGAUUUACUGGGUGUAAAGGGCGUGUAGGCGGGAGCGCAAGUUAGAUGUGAAAACGCAGGGCUCAACCCUGAGCCUGCAUUUGAAACUGUGUUUCUUGAGUGCUGGAGAGGCAAUCGGAAUUCCGUGUGUAGCGGUGAAAUGCGUAGAUAUACGGAGGAACACCAGUGGCGAAGGCGGAUUGCUGGACAGUAACUGACGCUGAGGCGCGAAAGCGUGGGGAGCAAACAGGAUUAGAUACCCGCGUAAA